RNAcentral lists this ribosomal RNA (543 nucleotides) under uncultured bacterium. Its description in RNAcentral is "bacterial SSU rRNA". It matches the Rfam family "Bacterial small subunit ribosomal RNA", at positions 777 to 1319 of the family's 1533-position model. The record is from RNAcentral.
AAUAGAUACCCUGGUAGUCCACGCCGUAAACGAUGAGUGCUAAGUGUUAGGGGGUUUCCGCCCCUUAGUGCUGCAGCUAACGCAUUAAGCACUCCGCCUGGGGAGUACGGUCGCAAGACUGAAACUCAAAGGAAUUGACGGGGGCCCGCACAAGCGGUGGAGCAUGUGGUUUAAUUCGAAGCAACGCGAAGAACCUUACCAGGUCUUGACAUCCCAUUGACCGCUAUGGAGACAUGGCUUUCCCUUCGGGGACAGUGGUGACAGGUGGUGCAUGGUUGUCGUCAGCUCGUGUCGUGAGAUGUUGGGUUAAGUCCCGCAACGAGCGCAACCCUUGUUCUUAGUUGCCAUCAUUUAGUUGGGCACUCUAAGGAGACUGCCGGUGACAAACCGGAGGAAGGUGGGGAUGACGUCAAAUCAUCAUGCCCCUUAUGACCUGGGCUACACACGUGCUACAAUGGACGGUACAAACGGUUGCCAACCCGCGAGGGGAGCUAAUCCGAUAAAACCGUUCUCAGUUCGGAUUGUAGGCUGCAACUCGCCUAC